ACCGAGUUUGAUCAUGGCUCCAGGAUGAACGCUAGCUACAGGCUUAACACAUGCAAGUUCGAGGGGAAACGACAUCGAAAGCUUGCUUUUGAUGGGCGUCGACCGGCGCACGGGUGAGUAACGCGUAUCCAACCUGCCCACCACUUGGGGAUAACCUUGCGAAAGUAAGACUAAUACCCAAUGAUAUCCCACGAAGGCAUCCGAAUGGGAUUAAAGAUUUAUCGGUGAUGGAUGGGGAUGCGUCUGAUUAGCUUGUUGGCGGGGUAACGGCCCACCAAGGCUACGAUCAGUAGGGGUUCUGAGAGGAAGGUCCCCCACAUUGGAACUGAGACACGGUCCAAACUCCUACGGGAGGCAGCAGUGAGGAAUAUUGGUCAAUGGGCGAGAGCCUGAACCAGCCAAGUAGCGUGCAGGACGACGGCCCUAUGGGUUGUAAACUGCUUUUAUAAGGGAAUAAAGUGGGUCACGUGUGACUUUUUGCAUGUACCUUAUGAAUAAGGACCGGCUAAUUCCGUG
This 516-nucleotide ribosomal RNA is filed under the name uncultured bacterium. RNAcentral's name for it is "bacterial SSU rRNA". It matches the Rfam family "Bacterial small subunit ribosomal RNA", at positions 1 to 507 of the family's 1533-position model. The record is from RNAcentral.